AUUGCUUCUCAGCCUUUCGGCUAAGAUCAAGUGUAAUAUUUGUCAUUUUGCAAAUUGACAGAAAUUCCUGUACCAGAAGUGAUGCAUGACACAAAGUGUUGUCAUGAAGGAGGAUAAUACCAUUUGCCCAUUUCUCAGACCCUUUUUCUAUGCACAUCAUUUCUUAUACUCAUGAAAAACAUCAUGGUGCAUCCUCA
Heterocephalus glaber (naked mole-rat) is the source of this 197-nucleotide small nuclear RNA. Its record names the gene U2. It matches the Rfam family "U2 spliceosomal RNA". Rfam says of the family: U2 is a small nuclear RNA (snRNA) component of the spliceosome (involved in pre-mRNA splicing). The record is from Ensembl. NCBI's taxonomy places the organism in Eukaryota, Metazoa, Chordata, Mammalia, Rodentia, Bathyergidae.